CAGUCGCCGCGGGAAUACGUAGGGUGCGAGCGUUAAUCGGAAUUACUGGGCGUAAAGCGUGCGCAGGCGGUUGUGUAAGACAGGUGUGAAAUCCCCGGGCUUAACCUGGGAACUGCGCUUGUGACUGCACAGCUAGAGUAUGGCAGAGGGGGGUGGGAUUCCACGUGUAGCAGUGAAAUGCGUAGAGAUGUGGAGGAACACCGAUGGCGAAGGCAGCCCCCUGGGCCAAUACUGACGCUCAUGCACGAAAGCGUGGGGAGCAAACAGGAUUAGAUACCCGUGUAGUCCCUGUCUCUUAUAC
Molecule: ribosomal RNA, 301 nt
Filed under: uncultured bacterium
Lineage: Bacteria
Description: partial 16S ribosomal RNA
Rfam family: Bacterial small subunit ribosomal RNA
Source: RNAcentral